This 500-nucleotide ribosomal RNA is filed under the name uncultured bacterium. RNAcentral's name for it is "partial 16S ribosomal RNA". It matches the Rfam family "Bacterial small subunit ribosomal RNA", at positions 30 to 523 of the family's 1533-position model. The record is from RNAcentral.
AUUGAACGCUGGCGGAAUGCUUUACACAUGCAAGUCGAACGGCAGCACGGACUUCGGUCUGGUGGCGAGUGGCGAACGGGUGAGUAAUGUAUCGGGACGUGCCCAGUCGUGGGGGAUAACGUAGUGAAAAUUACGCUAAUACCGCAUACGAUCUAUGGAUGAAAGCGGGGGAUCGCAAGACCUCGCGCGAUUGGAGCGGCCGAUAUCAGAUUAGGUAGUUGGUGGGGUAACGGCCCACCAAGCCAACGAUCUGUAGCUGGUCUGAGAGGACGACCAGCCACACUGGAACUGAGACACGGUCCAGACUCCUACGGGAGGCAGCAGUGGGGAAUUUUGGACAAUGGGCGAAAGCCUGAUCCAGCCAUUCCGCGUGCAGGAUGAAGGCCCUCGGGUUGUAAACUGCUUUUGUACAGAACGAAAAGGUUUCUACUAAUACUAGGAGCUCAUGACGGUACUGUAAGAAUAAGCACCGGCUAACUACGUGCCAGCCGCCGCGGUAA